Molecule: small RNA, 28 nt
Filed under: Bombyx mori (domestic silkworm)
Lineage: Eukaryota; Metazoa; Arthropoda; Insecta; Lepidoptera; Bombycidae
Description: ovarian small RNA-9815
Source: RNAcentral
UUUGUUACUUUUAACGCAUCAGGUGGAC